GACGAACGCUGGCGGCGUGCUUAACACAUGCAAGUCGAACGGAAAGGCCCUGCUUUUGUGGGGUGCUCGAGUGGCGAACGGGUGAGUAACACGUGAGUAACCUGCCCUUGACUUUGGGAUAACUUCAGGAAACUGGGGCUAAUACCGGAUAGGAGCUCCUGCUGCAUGGUGGGGGUUGGAAAGUUUCGGCGGUUGGGGAUGGACUCGCGGCUUAUCAGCUUGUUGGUGGGGUAGUGGCUUACCAAGGCUUUGACGGGUAGCCGGCCUGAGAGGGUGACCGGCCACAUUGGGACUAAGAUACGGCCCAGACUCCUACGGGAGGCAGCAGUGGGGAAUAUUGCACAAUGGGCGGAAGCCUGAUGCAGCAACGCCGCGUGCGGGAUGAAGGCCUUCGGGUUGUAAACCGCUUUCGCCUGUGGCGAAGCGUGAGUGACGGUAAUGGGUAAAGAAGCACCGGCUAACUACGUG
RNAcentral lists this ribosomal RNA (468 nucleotides) under uncultured bacterium. RNAcentral's name for it is "partial 16S ribosomal RNA". It matches the Rfam family "Bacterial small subunit ribosomal RNA", at positions 28 to 507 of the family's 1533-position model. The record is from RNAcentral.